AUAACUAAACUCAGCCAAAAUUUUAUUAAUAUAUGCAAGCAUAAAUUUUUUUUUGUAAAACAGUUUUAAAAAAUUAUUUCAGAAAAAUCAUUUUUACCUAAACUCAGCCAAACACCCUACAGUUUUUCACCAAAAUUAAUUUUUCAAAUCAAAAGUAUUUCUGCAGAAAUCACUUUUCCAAAAAUUAGGCCUAACAGGUCUACAGAGGAGUUCAUAUGGAACUGCUCUUGCGGAUAUCAUUAAUUAUUACCCUUUUCAUAUAAGCACAUGUUCAGCUGUCCUUAAUGCAACAAUGAUAGGUUUACAACCCAAGUUCAUGCAAAUUACGAACACCUAAGGGCUGUUUGGUUCUAUGUAAAACUGUAAAAAAGUAUUAUUAAAAAAAUUUCGGGAGAAAAUAAAUUUUAUAUUCUUUACUAUUUGGUUUAUAGGAAAGAAAAAAGUUUUCCAUCAUGAUGAUUUGGUUGAAAGAAAAAAAAAAGUUUAUUAUUAUUAUAGUUUAUAUUUAUAAACAAAUAUAUUUAAAACAUAUUAUACAAUAAAUAUGUAAUAUCAUAUAUAAUAAUAUAUAUUUAAUACUACAAAAUAAAUUACUAUAUAUUUAUAAAUAAUAUUUAUAUAUAAAUAUUACAUAAUAAUAUAUUUCUAUAAAAAAUAAAAUAAUAUAUAUUUUAUAUAUAUAAUGGAAGAGGG
This 693-nucleotide long non-coding RNA is filed under the name Ananas comosus (pineapple). RNAcentral describes it as "long non-coding RNA (ACOM_LNC022847)". Lineage: Eukaryota; Viridiplantae; Streptophyta; Magnoliopsida; Poales; Bromeliaceae. The record is from RNAcentral.